Papaver somniferum (opium poppy) is the source of this 378-nucleotide long non-coding RNA. RefSeq lists it as uncharacterized. NCBI's taxonomy places the organism in Eukaryota, Viridiplantae, Streptophyta, Magnoliopsida, Ranunculales, Papaveraceae. The record is from RefSeq and is a predicted model, not a curated record. The transcript is spliced from 3 exons.
GAUAUGAUAUAAAAAUGUAAGAUAAGUUUUUACACCUUCCAUUACAUUCUUAAACUUACUUGUAUUGAUCAAAAUUGACAGUGGGCUGAGGUAUUAUCGGCUGAUGCUUUCUCAGCAUUUGAGAAUGCUGGGAUGGACAAUGAAAAGUCUUGCAACAGGCUGUCAAAGAGAUUGGUCACAAGUUCCGUGACACGGUUCUUGUUCUAGGAGGUGGAAUCCCGCCACUUCAGGUUUUUGUUCGGUCCCGGGGGCGUGAACCAUCUCCCGAGGCACUUUCUCAGGCACCAUGGCCUUUUAAAGACAACAACAUCGUCCGUUUAGUUUAUACACCUAAUGAUGCAACUAGAUUUGGAGUCUUGGACUAUCGCCAGACAUAAG